GUGGCUGUACAGUAACAUGGAAGGGAGUUGCACAUCAUGCAGAUCAACACAUGGACAAGAAGAUGGACAAUGAGUACAGGGGUACCAACCGGUUCUGCGGUGGAUGACUGGUUCAGGCGCGCGGAGGAGACAUGGGACGCCGCCCAUGUUCACCUCCAGCGGGCCGUGAUGCGCCAGAAAGCCAGCGAAGACCGUCACCGCAGUGAGGCCCCGGUGUUCGCACCGGCUCUCGACCCGGAACCUGCCCUUCCGCUGCCCUGCCAGAAGCUGGACCCGCGGUUUGUGGGGCCAUUUAAAGUCCUGAGUAGAGUGAACGAGGUUUGUUAUAGGUUACAGCUUCCCCCUGAUUACCGUAUUAACCCCUCGUUCCAUGUGUCUUUCCUCAGGCCGGUGGUGGUUGGCCCGCUCCAGG
Molecule: long non-coding RNA, 412 nt
Organism: Oncorhynchus tshawytscha (Chinook salmon)
Lineage: Eukaryota; Metazoa; Chordata; Actinopteri; Salmoniformes; Salmonidae
Source: Ensembl